This 432-nucleotide ribosomal RNA is filed under the name uncultured bacterium. RNAcentral's name for it is "bacterial SSU rRNA". It matches the Rfam family "Bacterial small subunit ribosomal RNA", at positions 338 to 762 of the family's 1533-position model. The record is from RNAcentral.
CCUACGGGGGGCAGCAGUAGGGAAUCUUCCGCAAUGGGCGAAAGCCUGACGGAGCAACGCCGCGUGAGUGAUGAAGGUCUUCGGAUCGUAAAACUCUGUUGUUAGGGAAGAACAAAUUUGUUAGUAACUGAACAAGUCUUGACGGUACCUAACCAGAAAGCCACGGCUAACUACGUGCCAGCAGCCGCGGUAAUACGUAGGUGGCAAGCGUUAUCCGGAAUUAUUGGGCGUAAAGCGCGCGUAGGCGGUUUCUUAAGUCUGAUGUGAAAGCCCACGGCUCAACCGUGGAGGGUCAUUGGAAACUGGGAAACUUGAGUGCAGAAGAGGAGAGUGGAAUUCCAUGUGUAGCGGUGAAAUGCGCAGAGAUAUGGAGGAACACCAGUGGCGAAGGCGGCUCUCUGGUCUGUAACUGACGCUGAUGUGCGAAAGCGU